AUUGAACGCUGGCGGCAUGCCUUACACAUGCAAGUCGAACGGCAGCACGGGAGCAAUCCUGGUGGCGAGUGGCGAACGGAUGAGUAAUAUAUCGGAACGUGCCCAGUCGUGGGGGAUAACGCAGCGAAAGCUGUGCUAAUACCACAUACGAUCUAUGGAUGAAAGCGGGGGAUCGCAAGACCUCGCGCGAUUGGAGCGGCCGAUAUCAGAUUAGCUAGUUGGUGGGGUAAAGGCCCACCAAGGCGACGAUCUGUAGCUGGUCUGAGAGGACGACCAGCCACACUGGAACUGAGACACGGUCCAGACUCCUACGGGAGGCAGCAGUGGGGAAUUUUGGACAAUGGGCGCAAGCCUGAUCCAGCAAUGCCGCGUGCAGGAUGAAGGCCUUCGGGUUGUAAACUGCUUUUGUACGGAACGAAACGGUCUGCCCUAAUACGGUGGGCUAAUGACGGUACCGUAAGAAUAAGCACCGGCUAACUACGUGCCAGCCGCCGCAGUAA
RNAcentral lists this ribosomal RNA (500 nucleotides) under uncultured bacterium. RNAcentral's name for it is "partial 16S ribosomal RNA". It matches the Rfam family "Bacterial small subunit ribosomal RNA", at positions 30 to 523 of the family's 1533-position model. The record is from RNAcentral.